Long non-coding RNA from Sander lucioperca (pikeperch), 99 nucleotides. RefSeq lists it as uncharacterized. The transcript is spliced from 3 exons. The record is from RefSeq and is a predicted model, not a curated record. NCBI's taxonomy places the organism in Eukaryota, Metazoa, Chordata, Actinopteri, Perciformes, Percidae.
UGGGUACCGAGACCUGGUGCUAAUACGGCACCGGUGCCUUAACGACCGGUAUCUACUGGACCGAAUAGCAAUGCGGAUUUCGGUGCUACUGACAUGCCA